GUUCGUUUUCUGUUGCUGCUGUAAUGGCUCCUGAGGAACUGAGGCCCUCGGUCAAACAGCCCACAAGAAACUACAUGAGUGAGCAUCAAACCCACCUCAGUGGAGCCCCAAGAUGCCUGCAGGCGUGCAAGACUAAGAAGAGGACCGGCUGAGCUGCAUCCACAUUUCUGACCUGCAGAGACUAUGAGGCCUUCCUGUGAAGGGGAGACGACCUGACUGAGCAAAAGGCGCGGCCAGGAACUCCCAAGAAACUCAGGCUGCCCCAGAAGUCUCGAGCCCCAUCCCUACCCCACGACGUGAACUCCAAGCUGCAGACAGCAGACACGCUGGAGGACUUGUCUAAACUGAAUUUACAUUCACCCUGCCCCCAG
Long non-coding RNA from Eubalaena glacialis (North Atlantic right whale), 371 nucleotides. RefSeq lists it as uncharacterized. The transcript is spliced from 3 exons. Lineage: Eukaryota; Metazoa; Chordata; Mammalia; Artiodactyla; Balaenidae. The record is from RefSeq and is a predicted model, not a curated record.